Molecule: non-coding RNA, 101 nt
Organism: Stygiomarasmius scandens
Lineage: Eukaryota; Fungi; Basidiomycota; Agaricomycetes; Agaricales; Campanellaceae
Source: the annotation of a GenBank genome assembly
GCCUACUAAGCUCAGCGGCAGAGCACGCCACUCGUAUAUCCUGGUUACCUUGUACUUACAAUGGUGAGGUCUGUUGUUCAUUGAAAUCCAACCAGUGGGCA